This 572-nucleotide ribosomal RNA is filed under the name Sporobolomyces roseus. RNAcentral's name for it is "partial 26S ribosomal RNA". It matches the Rfam family "Eukaryotic large subunit ribosomal RNA", at positions 62 to 648 of the family's 3401-position model. Lineage: Eukaryota; Fungi; Basidiomycota; Microbotryomycetes; Sporidiobolales; Sporidiobolaceae. The record is from RNAcentral.
AAACUAACAAGGAUUCCCCUAGUAGCGGCGAGCGAAGCGGGAAAAGCUCAAAUUUGUAAUCUGGCGUCUACGACGUCCGAGUUGUAAUCUCGAGAAGUGUUUUCCGUGAUAGACCGCAUACAAGUCUCUUGGAACAGAGCGUCAUAGUGGUGAGAACCCAGUACACGAUGCGGAUGCCUAUUACUUUGUGAUACACUUUCGAAGAGUCGAGUUGUUUGGGAAUGCAGCUCAAAUUGGGUGGUAAAUUCCAUCUAAAGCUAAAUAUUGGCGAGAGACCGAUAGCGAACAAGUACCGUGAGGGAAAGAUGAAAAGCACUUUGGAAAGAGAGUUAACAGUACGUGAAAUUGUUGGAAGGGAAACACAUGCAGCCAGACUUGCUAUUCGGGGCAACUCGAUUGGCAGGCCCGCAUCAGUUUUUCGGGGCGGAAAAGCAUAGAGAGAAGGUAGCAAUUUCGGUUGUGUUAUAGCUCUUUAUUGGAUUCGCCCUGGGGGACUGAGGAACGCAGCGUGCUUUUAGCAUAAGCUUCGGCUUAUCCACGCUUAGGAUGCGGGUGUAAUGGCUGUAUAUGAC